UGUCACAGUUCAACUCCAAAGCGAUGAAUGACUACAGAACUACAAACGCCUAGUGUUACUGUAUAUGAAAAGGCAGGACUUCGAUCAGUUAGGUAGCUAACGUUACACUGCUUAGUCCGGUUUAGAAUGACUUUUGCCAACAUCGACAUCAACAUAACUUGGUCAAAAUGUAUUAUCCACCUAACUCGUUCCUGAACUGGGGCAAACCAGAAAUAUUCUGCACUACUUUUAAUAAUGGUGUCUGUUUACAACGUGUGUUGGAGAAAAGAAGAGGAGGAGAUCGGAGAGAAGAAUAGUGGCGGAACGGUCACUCUCUCCUGCAGGGCAUGUAGGAUUGAGAUGGAUGAGAUGAACUACCCUGUUUGAAAUGAUCUUGUGAGGACACUGAGACAGAAGCAAGACUUCUUAGUUAGAUCCCACCGGCUCAGCCUGUCUCGUACUGUACCUUGGCAGGUGGGAACACAAUAAUUUAGUUUGAACUAUAGUAUGUGUUACUGUAUGUACAUUUCACUUUUCAGGCAUUAUAAAAAAGAUCAUGUCUGGGUAUCACAAGGAUAUGAUAUCAUUAAUUGACAAGUGCAUUUUGGUUUAGAAAAACCUUUGAUUGAAAGGAUCCACUCAGAGGACCCCAAAGCAUUGAAAUCAAAUACCUAAAUUCUAUAUUUUUUAAACACUUUUUUUUAAUGUAUUCCCUGGUUUACGGUACUAUUGCCUUUAUCCUAUAUGUAAUAUGAUGGACUGUAUAUAUCCUUUCCAUACAUAGACCAAAAUCCCAAAAAUGUACCAUGCCAUCUUUUUCAUAGAUCUGAAAGGGAUAGGGUGUAAAAAAAAACAUGGUCAAUUAAAAUCCACCUAAAGACCUAGUUAUGGGGUGGCAGGUAGCCUAGUGGUUAGAGCGUUGGGCCAGUAACCGAAAGGUUGCUAGAUCGAAUCCCCGAGCU
Salvelinus sp. IW2-2015 is the source of this 941-nucleotide non-coding RNA. NCBI's taxonomy places the organism in Eukaryota, Metazoa, Chordata, Actinopteri, Salmoniformes, Salmonidae. The record is from RefSeq and is a predicted model, not a curated record.